This 1152-nucleotide ribosomal RNA is filed under the name Peribacillus simplex. RNAcentral's name for it is "Bacillus simplex partial 23S ribosomal RNA". It matches the Rfam family "Bacterial large subunit ribosomal RNA", at positions 1775 to 2925 of the family's 2925-position model. Lineage: Bacteria; Bacillati; Bacillota; Bacilli; Caryophanales; Bacillaceae. The record is from RNAcentral.
AGCCGCAGUGAAUAGGCCCAGGCGACUGUUUAGCAAAAACACAGGUCUCUGCGAAGCCGCAAGGCGAAGUAUAGGGGCUGACACCUGCCCGGUGCUGGAAGGUUAAGGGGAGAGGUUAGCGCAAGCGAAGCUUUGAACCGAAGCCCCAGUAAACGGCGGCCGUAACUAUAACGGUCCUAAGGUAGCGAAAUUCCUUGUCGGGUAAGUUCCGACCCGCACGAAAGGUGUAACGAUCUGGGCACUGUCUCAACGAGAGACUCGGUGAAAUUAUAGUACCUGUGAAGAUGCAGGUUACCCGCGACAGGACGGAAAGACCCCGUGGAGCUUUACUGCAGCCUGAUAUUGAAUUUUGGUACAGCUUGUACAGGAUAGGUAGGAGCCUGAGAAGCCGGAGCGCCAGCUUCGGUGGAGGCGUUGGUGGGAUACUACCCUGGCUGUAUUGAAAUUCUAACCCGCGCCCCUUAUCGGGGUGGGAGACAGUGUCAGGUGGGCAGUUUGACUGGGGCGGUCGCCUCCUAAAGAGUAACGGAGGCGCCCAAAGGUUCCCUCAGAAUGGUUGGAAAUCAUUCGUAGAGUGUAAAGGCACAAGGGAGCUUGACUGCGAGACCUACAAGUCGAGCAGGGACGAAAGUCGGGCUUAGUGAUCCGGUGGUUCCGCAUGGAAGGGCCAUCGCUCAACGGAUAAAAGCUACCCCGGGGAUAACAGGCUUAUCUCCCCCAAGAGUCCACAUCGACGGGGAGGUUUGGCACCUCGAUGUCGGCUCAUCGCAUCCUGGGGCUGUAGUCGGUCCCAAGGGUUGGGCUGUUCGCCCAUUAAAGCGGUACGCGAGCUGGGUUCAGAACGUCGUGAGACAGUUCGGUCCCUAUCCGUCGCGGGCGCAGGAAAUUUGAGAGGAGCUGUCCUUAGUACGAGAGGACCGGGAUGGACGCACCGCUGGUGUACCAGUUGUCUUGCCAAAGGCAUAGCUGGGUAGCUACGUGCGGACGGGAUAAGUGCUGAAAGCAUCUAAGCAUGAAGCCCCCCUCAAGAUGAGAUUUCCCAUGGCGCAAGCUAGUAAGAUCCCUGAAAGAUGAUCAGGUUGAUAGGUCAGAGGUGGAAGCAUGGUGACAUGUGGAGCUGACUGAUACUAAUAGAUCGAGGACUUAACCAAC